UAUUCUGCCCAGACGGGAAGGAUGAGAAGCUUCGACUAAGGUUCGAUUCGAGCGUUAGCGAGAAAGCGUUGCCGCAGGCAACGACCCGAAGGGCGAGGCGCACCGCGCUGAGUAAUCCUUCCCCCACCACCA
This 132-nucleotide small RNA is filed under the name Citrobacter braakii. RNAcentral's name for it is "RtT sRNA". It matches the Rfam family "RtT RNA". Rfam says of the family: This family represents a bacterial cis-regulatory element known as RtT RNA. The exact function of RtT is unknown although it is thought that it may be involved in changing the cellular response in relation to amino acid starvation. RNAcentral also lists the same sequence under 2 other names. Lineage: Bacteria; Pseudomonadati; Pseudomonadota; Gammaproteobacteria; Enterobacterales; Enterobacteriaceae. The record is from RNAcentral.